This is a long non-coding RNA of Clupea harengus (Atlantic herring), 1367 nucleotides long. The record is from Ensembl. NCBI's taxonomy places the organism in Eukaryota, Metazoa, Chordata, Actinopteri, Clupeiformes, Clupeidae.
AAGUUCCCGAAAAUAACCUUCCUUCCUCUCUUCCUGUCUCCUUCCCUGUCUCUCCGUUUCUUGUUUCUUCCUGCGUCUGCUCCCGACUGCCUCUCUCUCUUCGAACCGACUCUGCAAGCAAUCUCACCAGCAGGAUUAUGCAAAUACCUUUGGCGCUUAUUAAUUAUCUCCCGCCCCUCUAGAGUUCGUUAACUGCAGGGGUUCACUCGCACUCUGCAUAAUUAUGCAAAGCCCCAGAGCCCAAGAGGGUUCAUGUUCCUCUCUCCUGUCAGGGCCUUCAAAGGGGAACUAUCUGGAGAGGCUGGAGAGAGUUCAAGACUGGUAGAAUGGGAUCGGUUGUUUAAUGAUCGAAGUGUUGACCCUGCGUGAGCCGGCCCGAAACGGUUGGCGGGAUCCAGGGAUUGCAGAAAUGUGAUCCAAAGACAGGCACAGAUAAGCAUCUGCAGCAUCCGGGUGUAACCCAAGUCACAGCGGGGAUUUCUGGCUUCCAAAGCGACCCGCAGAGUUUUAUCCCAAAAGGCGGACGCUCCAGACAGGAAUCUCACAGGCAGCGCUAAAGAGCAUUAUGGGUCGGAAACCCGCUCUGAAGGCAAACAAACAGCUACAUUGUGUUCCUGAUGGAUGAACAGUGAGAUUCAUUCUCCUCGUAAGACAAACGUCACAGGCUUUUCAGGUUUCUCUUUUGCUUUUUUUUUUACAGAUUUCUAUGUAAGGGAGUCUGAUCAAAGCUGUCAGAUUAUCAAACAACAUAUUUCAGCCUGAAGGCUAGUUUCUGAAGUGUGUUCUCAAGCACUAAAGCAAUGUAGGGAAGAAUGAAAGUGAGACUCUGAGUGUGUGUGUGUGUGUGUGUGUGUGUGUGUGUGUUUGUGUGUUUUAUGAAAGUUAGGUUGAUCGCAAGGACGCCUCAACUGAGGGCUUUCCACAGAGUAUUCCAACAGCAGUACAGCAGCAAGUGAAAUGUCACAGUCACUUCCUUAUCUCUGAAAAAAUAAGAAAUCACUUCAUUCGUUCAUCCAGAAACAAUGCCAUUAAGUGCUGGGGAGCGAUGCGUGCUCCAACACUAUCCCGAGAGAUGGGCAUACACUGCAAGUUAAUGUCGGGGGCUGUGAUUUGGAGUGCAUCGAGACGGCAUUAAUUCUGGAACAACUUGUGUGUGAAAUAGGCGGCUCAGUGUGAAAAGGGGAAAAGGUUAAACGCUCGGAUGAGUAACGCUCUCCUGCCGAUCUGCAAGAUGCCAUGACGGUUCAUCGUCACCUGGCUAAUAAGAGUGACAGAGGGGGAGCCUGAAGGGGGAACACACACACACACACACACACACACACACACAGUCAUGCCAAACACACACGUGCACAGAAAGCUUUUGGUUC